RNAcentral lists this unclassified non-coding RNA (240 nucleotides) under soil metagenome. RNAcentral's name for it is "partial contains 5.8S ribosomal RNA, internal transcribed spacer 2, and large subunit ribosomal RNA". The record is from RNAcentral.
AACCAUAGAAACCUGCGGAGUACCUGCGGAGGGAUCAUUAUAGUAUAUGGAAUCUCCAUUCUAUAAACCCACUCUGCGUAUCUUGUAACUGUUGCUUCCAUGGGACUUGGCUCCGCCACACCGGCUUCACGGCUGGUGAGCGCCCAUGGAAGGAGAAACAAAACUCUUCUUUGAAAUGUAGUCAGUCUGAACAAGUUUUUAUAAACGUUAAAACUUUUAGCAACGGAUCUCAGAUCGGAA